AAAACAUUUUUCCCCCUUAGUAUAGGCGAUAGAAAGGGAUCUAAGAGCCAUAGAACCAGUACCGCAAGGGAAAGCUGAAAGAGAGAUGAAACAGCACCAUAAAGUACAAAAAAGCAGAGAUUAAACCUCGUACCUUUUGCAUCAUGAAUUAGCCAGUAUCACCAAGCGAGGGGAACCAUAGCUUGCACACCCGAAACUGAGUGAGCUACUCCAGGACAGCCUAUUUAGGGCGAACCCGUCUCUGUGGCAAAAGAGUGGGGAAGAUCUUCGAGUAGAAGUGACAGACUUACCGAACUCAGUUAUAGCUGGUUGCUGGAAAAUGGAUAUAAGUUCAGCCCCCCUCAUUCUUCACUCAUGCGCCCCGCCGCCAGUAUGACAAAAAGAUAUGACAGGGAGUUAUUCGAAGGGGGUACAGCCCCUUUGAAGAAAGACACAACUUUUUAAGGAGGAUAAGGAUAACACAAGGAGCGGUGCCCCCGUGGGCCUAAAAGCAGCCACCCCCGUAGAAAGCGUUAAAGCUCAAGCACAACAACAUCCGUAUAUUCCAAUAAGCCCAUCCAAAGCCCCAACAUAAUACCAGGCUGCUCUACUCAACCAGUAGAAGAAAAAAUGCUAGUAUGAGUAAUAAGAAAUUCCACGAAUUUCUCCCAGCACUCACAUAAAUCGGAACGGACAACCCACCGAAAGUUAGCGGACCCAAGAAAAGAGGGAAAUGAUGAACACCAAGACCGGAAAAACAUUCAACCUCAAACCGUUGACCCCACACCGGAGUGCUCUAAGGAAAGACUGAAAGAAAGAGAAGGAACUCGGCAAAUUAAACACAAGCCUCGACUGUUUACCAAAAACAUCGCCUCUUGCUAACACAUGUAGAAUAAGAGGUCUAGCCUGCCCAGUGACAAUAUGUUCAACGGCCGCGGUAUUUUGACUGUGCUAAGGUAGCGCAAUCACUUGUCUUUUAAAUGAAGACCUGUAUGAAAGGUAUCACGAGGGCUUAACUGUCUCCUCUUUCUAGUCAAUGAAAUUGAUCUCCCCGUGCAGAAGCGGGGAUUACACCAUAAGACGAGAAGACCCUGUGGAGCUUGAGACAUCAGGGCAGACCACGUCCAAAACCCGCCUAAGGGACUGAACUGAGUGACACCUGCCCAAAUGUCUUCGGUUGGGGCGACCAUGGGGAAAGCAAAACCCCCACGAGGACAGGGAGCACCAGAGGGAUACUCCUCAACCAUACAACCGAACUCCUAAAAACUAGAGCCCCCGCUCUAGUUAAACGAAAUAUUCGACCUAGACUGAUCCGGCAUGACCGAUCAACGGAAUAAGUUACCCCAGGGAUAACAGCGCUAU
RNAcentral lists this ribosomal RNA (1341 nucleotides) under Neolaeops microphthalmus. Its description in RNAcentral is "16S ribosomal RNA". It matches the Rfam family "Bacterial large subunit ribosomal RNA", at positions 224 to 2486 of the family's 2925-position model. The record is from RNAcentral. Lineage: Eukaryota; Metazoa; Chordata; Actinopteri; Pleuronectiformes; Bothidae.